This 24-nucleotide microRNA is filed under the name Macaca mulatta (Rhesus monkey). Its description in RNAcentral is "mml-miR-586". Its record names the gene mml-miR-586. Lineage: Eukaryota; Metazoa; Chordata; Mammalia; Primates; Cercopithecidae. The record is from miRBase by way of RNAcentral.
UAUGCAUAUUGUAUUUUUAGGUCC